GCAGUUAAAAAGCUCGUAGUUGAAUUUCUGCUGCAUUACAUAUCUCUUGUUUGAGUUUGUUUUUGUGGCUUAUUUCGGUUUGAUUUUUUCUUUCCGGAUGAUUACUUUGAGAAAAUUAGAGUGCUCAAAGCAGGCUUUUGCCUUGAAUAGUUUAGCAUGGAAUAAUAAAGUAGGACUUUGGUUCUAUUUUGUUGGUUUUAGGUACCAAAGUAAUGGUUAAUAGGAACAGUUGGGGGCAUUCGUAUUUAACUGUCAGAGGUGAAAUUCUUAGAUUUGUUAAAGACGAACUACUGCGAAAGCAUUUGCCAAGGAUGUUUUC
RNAcentral lists this ribosomal RNA (319 nucleotides) under Theileria buffeli. RNAcentral describes it as "SSU rRNA". It matches the Rfam family "Eukaryotic small subunit ribosomal RNA", at positions 615 to 971 of the family's 1831-position model. The record is from RNAcentral. Lineage: Eukaryota; Apicomplexa; Aconoidasida; Piroplasmida; Theileriidae.